RNAcentral lists this long non-coding RNA (369 nucleotides) under Physcomitrium patens. RNAcentral describes it as "long non-coding RNA (PPAT_LNC010783)". The record is from RNAcentral. Lineage: Eukaryota; Viridiplantae; Streptophyta; Bryopsida; Funariales; Funariaceae.
GAUUUCUCCCUUUCCAACUCUUAACUUUGUCUCAAAAUUGUUAUGUAGCUUGAUCUUCAAGUCCUUCAACACCAUGCCAGUUUUCACCUUAAUCCAAGUAAUAGAUCUUCAGAUAUCAUAGAAACCCUAUCCAACCUCAAACUGCCACCUUUUAAAACCCACUUGUUCUAAAAACUAGAUAUCUCUAAACCACGCUGUUAGAUUAUUACAAAAAUUUUUACACACUUAUCACACCCAAUAAUCCAAAUAGUUUCAAGUUUUCAACUAUAGAUGUCACAUCAAUUCUACGAACUAGUCAAAAUUACAAGCCCUAAUUAUAUUAUAUAAAACCCAAAUCAUUGAUAUGAACCCUGAUUUCUAACAACAAUU